UUUUCUGAGAGAACGAUACAUGACUGGAGCUUGAGCCCUACCAGCGUGACAGAAUGUACUGUGCACGUAAAGAUCGAGAACAGACAGAACAGCAGUCGAAGAAGUCGCAGAAAAGCUGCACGGAUGGCUCGAGUCAGGGACCACUUUGCUCAAAGAGAUGGAGGAGCGAGUGACACUGAAAGAGAAGAGUCACCUCCAGAAAUAAAACAGGCAGCUCAAAAAGAAACCCCAAAGGAAAAACAAAUAGAUGUUCAGUCAUUUUCUGAUGGGAAGAGCACUACAGAAGGUUCUCAGUUUGUUUCUGAAUCUGUGGAAAUGUGCAGCGAACCUCUCCUCAAUGUUUUACGUGAUACGUCACCAGCACAUGACAGCAUGUCUAACACUGAGUCAGAGGAAUCUGAGAGCAUCACUGUGGCUGACUCAGCCACAUUUAAAGGAGGUGAGAGUGUCACAGAUAUCCCAGACAGCCCGCUGCAUUCAACUGAUGAGUCUGGUCCUGCAGAACAGCAAAAUAUCAAUGACGUUAUCAUCAAAGCUGAGGAAAGCAGUCAGAACCAAGGCACAAGUUAUGAAUCUACCAGCAACACAGCAACAGUGAGCAGUGAAAACCUGGUUAGCCAGACCAACAGCUUCACAUUUGGAACUGUGGUGGCUCCACUGUAUCAUCAGGUGUUUGGCAGAGUGGGAAGUGAAAGUCAGAGCACAGGUGACGGGGGAAAUCCUAUACAGGCUACUCUGAAUACUGCAGACCUAAAUGCGCACACCAAAAUAAGACAGAUUAGCUGUAUUGAUUCAACAGAUGCUACAAGUAAAGAUGACAACGUUCAAGUAAAUUUGAUAAAUAAUCAGGAAUCCAGCCAUGAAUGCUUAAAUGCCACGCUAAUUUGUCCUCCUACUGAAGAACAAGAAACAAGUUUUAAUGUGUCAGCAAAUGAAGUCCUGGACUGUGCAGAAACUACACAAGAUCCAACUGGGAUAGAAAAUACAGACCACAGUACAAAUGCCUCUGAAAAUUCAACACCUCUUCUAGGGGACACAUUAGGACAUCCUGAGAGGGUAAACAUGUUAAAUAAAGAUUUGUUGAAUCCACAAAUACACACUGAGAGUUUACAUCUCCAGGGAGAAGAACAGGAAGACAAACUAACCCCUGACCUCCAAAGCCAAAUCACAGGAGAAACACCACAGAGUCAGCUGCCAGAGCCCACUUGUAAACAAAUUGAAACUAAUCUUGCUGAAACACUUGCAGAAAGUGAAACACAAGAAGUCAAGAUCAGUCUACAGUCAUCGUUUAUAUUACUUCAACCUUCUCAGAGUGACCAUGUCGUUAAAGAGACAGAGCAACAGACCAGCAGAAGAGGAGAGGAGGAGUGUGUGGAGCUAAACAGUGACCACAAAAAUGGACAGACUGAGACUAUAUCAAAAACCAACACAUCUCCAAAGGCGGAUAAACUAUUGGAAGCGUUACAUGAUGUGAAUUCGAACCACAUUGAUAAUUCAGUUAAAAAAGAACCUGAGGAUAUUGUUGUGCCUUGCCGUGAACUUGAGAAAAGGGAUUUCACAACACUGGAGACAUCUCUGGAAACUCAGGAUAAAACUAAUAACAUGGAAAAAGCUAAUAAAGGGACGUACAGGUUACAUAAAGGUGAAACAGAACAGCCCACUGACAAGGUAAUUGGUGUGGUAGCUGAAUCCAUGACAAAAGCAACGAUAAAUGAGUAUGACAGACAUGGUGACAUGUUGGUGGGACUCAAAGAUGAAGAAUCUUUGGAAGACAUAGAGCAUUGUGAAACAGAAGCUGCUGUUCCAAAACAGGAUGUGGCUUCUUGUUUGACAGUCAUUACUGAGGCCAAAAACUGGGAAAUGAUGGUUGAAGAGGAGGAAAAUAGCAUAUUAACAAAUCAGGAGGAGUAUGAGCCAAUUAAUUUAAAAACAGGCACUGAAGUAAUCGAGAGAGACACUACAGAGGAGAAAAAGAGGAAUUUAUGGAGGAGAUCAUAGCUGCAGGAGUGCAAAAGUACAAAGCUGAUAAUGCCGUGAGGUUAGAGGACGAGGAAUGGAUAAGAAAGGAAGAAAUUGCUGAGACUGUGACUGGAUUAGUUCAUGUUCAAGUCACAGAGAUGGAAAAGAAGCUUGAAGAGGAAGAACGAGCUGAUGAAGAGAGAACAGAGGGACCAAAGGAGACAGAGGUGCAGAAGGAAAAAUACUUUGCAGAGAUGCAUGAGAUCAAUAUCGAAAGUGCAAAUGUGAAAGAAGAAAAGGAAUUAGAGGAAAAGGAAAAAAUUCAAACAUACUUGAUUGAUGAAGUUGAAGCAGGUGUGGAGUUGGAGGAUGAGAUAAAACCAAAGGAGGAAAACAGAGAGGAGAAUCCAGAGUUCAAGGAGGAGGAUGUUGUUGAUCUAGCAGUGGAAAUUGAAGAUGCAGAGUCGUGCAUGGUAACAGAGGACAAACAAGAUGAAGUGUUGUGGUCAGAGGAAAGGUUAGACGUUGCACAAAAUGAGGCUGAAGUGGAUUUAUCUGCUCUGCUGAACAACAAGCAGGAGGGUGUCAAUGAGAAAGAAACUGACAAAGAAAAUACAGAAGACGGGCAAAAUCUACACUUCAACACUGAAAUCCGUCUUUGCAAGGAGGACGAUUUUCAAAGCAACACAACUAUUACACAUGACCGAUCAAAAGCUGAGGAGGAAUGCUUCACUGCAGAGGCAGCUGAGAGCAUUUUAGCGGAUGAACCUGAAAUCGACCAAACAAGUCACGACAGUGCUUCAUCAGAGUCAGACUCAGACGAUGAGGUGGAGCUGUACAUGCACUGUCUGAGGGCUGUUCACACAGGAGCACAGGCCCAUAAGGACCGCAACAAAGAUGUAGGUUUUACUGUGAGCAAAAGGCCUUCUGUUAGCCGAGGCAAACUGCUGUCCAUGCCGUCCAUCAGUGAAUCUCUGGAUGAAGAACAGCACCUCAGCCACCUUCAGGAGAAUCAUGAUGACGGGGAGACAGCAUCCAUCACCGCUCUGUCAGCAUCCAGUGGACAGGAAAGUGUCAACAGAAAUGUUUCAUGGUGGAAAGAUACUUUUUCCUGCAGCAAUAUCUCAAAAACAUUGUUAUACACCACCUUGUUAGUGGUAUUUUUAGUUGUGGCAUACCGUUAUGAUUUUCUUGCCUGCUUUGGCCUCUACUUGAUAUCUGUGGUUUGGCUCUGCUGUCAAGGAGACAGGCAAACAGUUAAAAACGACAAAAUAGGCUGAAUUAAAUUGAAAAAACCUGUCUCGAUAGAGAUUAUGUUGAAAAUGGAUUUCUGAGGUGUAGAAGGUGUAGAGUGAGGAAGGUAGAUUGGUGUUUUUUCUACAUGCAAUCAUAACUUUUGAUGUUUUCCUAAUUCUUAAUGACAGAAAACUUAACAAGAUCAUACAAUAGUUUUUACGGGCAUUAAUUUUGACUCAUAUCAGUAUACUUCAGUAUAUUCCCUAUGGGAGGAUGGUAACUCUCUGUUGUCAGAGUAUGAACCAAUUUCCUUUAUGCUUUCCUGUAUAUAAAACUUGUUUCACUUCAGCCAACAGGCUGUCAAACAUUGCUCACACUGAUCAGUUCUACAGAGCGCUAAUCCUUUAUGAGGUGUAAAUAACACUUACCGGUGUGCUGUGUGUAUGGCUGCUGCCAUAGUAUUUGUGUACAACACAUUUAGUGCUCAUUACAAUAAAAAUAAUGAAUUAUACAACACAAAAAAAUGUAGUGGUCUGUUUUGAUUCUACUGUUUACUAAUAGUAGUAUAGUAUAUAUAUUAUAGUAGUAUGGUAUAACAACAGCAGUCAGCUCACAGAAAAAAAAUAAUGGAGCAGAUUAUGACAAUGUAUUGCAUAUAUUACAAGACAUAAAAAAGUAUUCAGACUUCCUAGA
Amphiprion ocellaris (clown anemonefish) is the source of this 3888-nucleotide long non-coding RNA. The record is from Ensembl. Lineage: Eukaryota; Metazoa; Chordata; Actinopteri; Pomacentridae.